Molecule: non-coding RNA, 3927 nt
Organism: Dermacentor albipictus
Lineage: Eukaryota; Metazoa; Arthropoda; Arachnida; Ixodida; Ixodidae
Source: RefSeq, a predicted model, not a curated record
AUAAAGCAGUGGCACAAAACAAAGAGAAUGAAAAAAGUAUUGUUCAGCCAAUAAAAACAUUUCACUGUUGCUGCAAGGUGAGAAGAGGGAAGCAGCCCUGCACUCACCCCAGCAACUACAGGCUUGACCGAAGGGUCCAAGACAUCUCGAACAUAAUGUCCACACUUGGCCAAAGAAGCGGGAACCAUAUCGAGAAGCUUGUGUUCUGGCCACAGAAGCGGGAGCUCACAGGCCUUGUGUUAGAAUUCUGUAGCCUGGUGAAGUUACAAACCGUACUCUUGUAGCGAUGUGUUGGCCAGGUUUUGACUGGUUGCCCUGGUCCAGUGAAGUCUUGACUGCAUGUCUUCAGCACAAUCCAUGGGGUAACCUUCCUAUGUGGCUUUCAUCCAUUUUCCAGCUAUUCCCUUCAUUUUUGUCACCCGGGGCUUCGUGGUCCGCAGUGAUUAGUCCCUUACUUAAUAUGUACAAAUAGGUCCUUUAAUUUUCCUGUUUUCUUGCCUUGAAUGCCCUCAUACCUAUUGCAAACAGAAAAGGAAGAUAGCACCACUCUUCUAUCAUGAUCGUUCACAUUAGAGUUCCAUUAAAGGAGCAAGAUCAGGGUAUCCAUGGCAUCUGUCUCGAUUCUUUACAUUUUGUGCCAUAAUACCCAGGACUCGUACUGUGGCUGCAGGCGUCAUCUGUAAGUUUGGGAGGUGGGAGCACCUUCUGCUUGCUUCAGCUCCUGUCUGACCUUGCCCUUCAGCACAACAGUCUAAAGUUCACAAAGCCAGGAUGCCCCCGGAGGUGAAUGACACAACCUGUCAGCCCAGCCCUUGGAGCAGCCAAUGACCUGCCUAUCGAUGCGAAGGACAACUGCAAUGACAACUGCAAAGCUUGCAAGGCUGGGACGAUAAAUUUCUUCAGUGACAUCCAUCUUGAAGGCCUAGUCCUUGAAGUGAAUGGCGCAUAGAGUGCAGACUUAUCUUGCCACCACAACGAUGACUGCUCCAUAGCUCACAAGGCUGGGAUAGCAAGUCUCAUCGGAAGGCUGAUCGUGCAGGCCUAGCCCUUGAAACCACCAGCUGUGUGUCUGCCAAUAAUCUGUGCCUUCAUCGUGAUGGGCUCUCCAAGGUCUGCAAGGCUGGAACGCUGAGGUCAUCCCAUCUGAAAUUUGGAAGCUUUGCCCUUCAAGCAUCCAGUACCACCAUGGCAGUAUUAAAGAUGGGAGGAACUGCAAGGAUCACUAGUGUUUACUAACAAUUAUGUAGCAUCCUUGUCUGUGCACUCACAAGUGCCCUAGGGACCUAAAAGACUGAAAUAUGGGACAUUGAGUGGCUGAGAAUUAUGGGAAUAUUCUUGCACACUGACAUCAAAGAAAAGUAAUAGAAUACUUACAUCUAUGUCACAAAUAGUUGUUAAGUUCAACUUAGUUUGCUUUCAACGAGAGUGACGUAGAGGCUUGUGAAUACUUUGAAUUGGACAUCUGCUGCAGUAAAGUGAAGCUCGAGGUCCGAUUGACCAAAUUAGACAAAAAAGCGCGUUACACAUCCGCCAAGCCAACAGGGAUUUUAAUAAGCAGGCCAUAGAGCUGGGUUUGUUCACAUGACUAGAGGAUGCCCAUUGAUAAAGCUAAGUAACUCGGUCUAAAGAAUGCUGCAAGAAUUUAACACUACUUUAGUAGCGAUAUUCUCACAGCAAACAGAUGCGUUGCAGAAGCAACAGUCAUAGCUCCAGAAGCACAGAAACUCGGAGGCGAAUCUGAAUUUGUGCCACAAAAGCCAUUCUGUUCUCUGUCAGCAGGUCUGCUAUGCUGUGUCGGUCAAUGGGUGCUGUGUCUGCCCUGAAGACGGCGACAGCUUACCUUUAACUGGGACUGAUAGCCCAUCUAGCACCACUGCUAAAGUAAUGUUAAACAUUUAUCCUAAAGACAAAAACGCAAAACAAAGCAAGAGGGAGGGGGGGAUGAAGCUUGCAGAAAAACGAGACAAGGAUUCUUUGAGAUAAGGUGUGGCAGUCAUGAUCAGAACCAGAACGAUAAGUCAAAGGAGAGUUUUUGCACUUUCGUGUGUGAUCAAACGGACAGGCAUCAUACUGAAGGCGUCAAGAGGAGCACAAGGAUGAAGCAAAGGCACUUGGCAGCUUGGAAAGACAGUCACGCAAUUGAAUGCAGAAAAAUUGCGGGAAACAACUCAAGCACCCGAAUGCAAGAAAAGAGUGAAAAUAAUACGUUAUGUUAAAGAAAAAGGAUUUCCUUUUGAACACAAUAUUAAUAUAACACUGCCCCACUGUACGAUACAUCAAACAUUAUACACAGCUUCAAAAUUGCAUAACUGUGCAAACUCAGCCUGAAAUAGAUGGAAUAGAAUUUGUUCCUUGUGAGCAAAUCGGGAUUGUGGCUUGCAUAAGCUGAAUGUGUGCAGUUUUUGCUUAGCAGAAAGGUUAUUAAUUAGUCAAACUUCUAUAGUGGUGAACAAAAUAGGAGUUCGGCAAUGGGAAAGAAAAGAACAUUAACAUUUGUGUGCAGUAGUGUGAGAGUUAACGUGGGCAGAAGUGCAAUGUGUAAAUAGGGUCUAUUUUGGGCAGAUAUACCGAGAUAUAAAUUGCACUGGUAUUGUACUGAAUCAAGUUAUCUUGACAUGAAGCAAUAGCCUGCCCUUUAAUUUGCAUAGAUUUUGCCAUACAGUCUUGCAUGGCUGUUAGACUACUGCAUACUUUGGCAAAGCCAAAUAGCUGUCAUGCUAAAUGUCAUGUAUAAGGCAGCCAUGUAUGUCUAUCCACGAGAAGGCAUAUCUGUAUUUUAUGACUGUGCGCAAGUUUAUUGUUGACAGAUACCGUAUGUUGUGCAUAACAUAAAGUAUGUCCUUGCAUUCAUAAUGGACGGCAAUAUUUUUCAAUUCUACCCUGCCCCCUCACUCUAGGUCUUUGUCCAGAGAAGGAAUGCCCACUGCUUGAGUGCCCGUGACACAGUCGAUGCUGCUUCAAGCUUCAACAAUUGUUGUGUCAGUUACAGCUAUGCAAGCCAAUAUUUGCACCAAAAAGAUGUUACUUAGCUCCUUCAGGUUUUUUAAAUAAAGUACUUUACCAACAAAACUAUGCCCGGGGGCUGUCCCCCUUCGACUUUUCUUUGGCAUUUACAACACAUCCUAAGACCAUAAAUGCUUAUUCAAAGCACCCAAUACACUUUAGGCCGAACAUUGUCUGCAAAGUUCCAUUUGAAGAGGUACUGACAUGAUAUCUUCAAUUAUUCCUUUUUUUCUCUCAUUAAAUUAAGGCUUUAGAGCUCUAAAAAUAUAAUAACAAGCCUUGGAGUGGCGUGAUUUAGUAUAAUAGCUUUCCUGGAGCCGGUUUCAGUUUUGUUUUCUGGGAGGAUACUAUGUAGUGACAUCACAACACAGUAUGUGGUCAUGUGAGAAAAGGACAUUGCAAUGUUUUGACACUCUCUUGAGGCCUCCGGCUAGCUCAGUCGACUUGUGCACUGCAAAUUUUGAAGGUCAAUGUAGCAGCACAGUGGACGACUGAAUGAGCUAGAGCGAGUGUCAUAACAUCGUAAUGUCUUGCUCCCACAUGACCAUAUACUGUGUCGUGACAUCAAGGCAUAGUAUCCUCCUGGAAAACAAAAGUGGCUGUAAAGAAGCUACUAUAUUGAAUUAUUUACGGUGUUUUGAGGCUUCACCCCUCAAACGCUGUCUGUCGUCUUCUCUCCGCCACUCUUCAGCACUGAACUUCAUCCGACCAAACACCAGAGAAAAGAGUGAUGCUGAUACAGACACACAAGUUUUUUUGGCAGUGGAAUAUGUUAACUGGACAAACUGCUGCAAGCGUUGCAUAGCAACAUGCAUUGAAGCUGCUUUGUCAUGCGACUCUCACGCUACCUGCGUUGGAACCAGAUGGCUCACAUGAAAAGAUUCAGGUGUCUCAGCAGCAGCACACCCACCCGUUGUUGGUCAC